UACGUAGGGUGCAAGCGUUGUUCGGAAUCAUUGGGCGUAAAGCGCGUGUAGGUGGUUUAAUAAGUCGGGUGUGAAAUCCCUAGGCUCAACCAAGGAAGUGCAUUCGAAACUAUUAAACUAGAAGGUGGUAGAGGAAGGUGGAAUUCCAAGUGUAGAGGUGAAAUUCGUAGAUAUUUGGAGGAAUACCGGCGGCGAAGGCGGCCUUCUGGACCAUUCUUGACACUGAGACGCGAAAGCGUGGGUAGCAAAC
Molecule: ribosomal RNA, 250 nt
Filed under: uncultured bacterium
Lineage: Bacteria
Description: partial 16S ribosomal RNA
Rfam family: Bacterial small subunit ribosomal RNA
Source: RNAcentral